Lachnospiraceae bacterium M18-1 is the source of this 77-nucleotide non-coding RNA. NCBI's taxonomy places the organism in Bacteria, Bacillati, Bacillota, Clostridia, Lachnospirales, Lachnospiraceae. The record is from Rfam.
UUGAGCCGUAUGAGCGGAAACGCUCACGUACGGUUCUUAGGCGAGAAAGGGCGAGUAAUCGCCCCGACUUAGCCGAC